AGCGCAGGCGGGAAGACAAGUUGGAAGUGAAAUCUAUGGGCUCAACCCAUAAACUGCCUUCAAAACUGUUUUUCUUGAGUAGUGCAGAGGUAGGCGGAAUUCCCGGUGUAGCGGUGGAAUGCGUAGAUAUCGGGAGGAACACCAGUGGCGAAGGCGGCCUACUGGGCACCAACUGACGCUGAGGCUCGAAAGUGUGGGUAGCAAACA
RNAcentral lists this ribosomal RNA (207 nucleotides) under uncultured bacterium. RNAcentral's name for it is "partial 16S ribosomal RNA". It matches the Rfam family "Bacterial small subunit ribosomal RNA", at positions 568 to 774 of the family's 1533-position model. The record is from RNAcentral.